UACUCUUGACAUCCACGGAAUUUAGCAGAGAUGCUUUAGUGCCUUCGGGAACCGUGAGACAGGUGCUGCAUGGCUGUCGUCAGCUCGUGUUGUGAAAUGUUGGGUUAAGUCCCGCAACGAGCGCAACCCUUAUCCUUUGUUGCCAGCACGUAAUGGUGGGAACUCAAGCGAGACUGCCGGUGACAAACCGGAGGAAGGUGGGGAUGACGUCAAGUCAUCAUGGCCCUUACGAGUAGGGCUACACACGUGCUACAAUGGCAGAUACAAAGUGAAGCGAACUCGCGAGAGCAAGCGGACCACAUAAAGUC
This 308-nucleotide ribosomal RNA is filed under the name uncultured Yersinia sp. RNAcentral describes it as "bacterial SSU rRNA". It matches the Rfam family "Bacterial small subunit ribosomal RNA", at positions 976 to 1283 of the family's 1533-position model. The record is from RNAcentral. Lineage: Bacteria; Pseudomonadati; Pseudomonadota; Gammaproteobacteria; Enterobacterales; Yersiniaceae.